This 359-nucleotide ribosomal RNA is filed under the name uncultured Desulfobulbus sp. RNAcentral describes it as "bacterial SSU rRNA". It matches the Rfam family "Bacterial small subunit ribosomal RNA", at positions 1023 to 1382 of the family's 1533-position model. The record is from RNAcentral. Lineage: Bacteria; Pseudomonadati; Thermodesulfobacteriota; Desulfobulbia; Desulfobulbales; Desulfobulbaceae.
CGGACAAUAUACAAGGUGCUGCAUGGUUGUCGUCAGCUCGUGCCGUGAGGUGUCGGGUUAAGUCCCAUAACGAGCGCAACCCUUGCCUUUAGUUGCCAGCAGUUCGGCUGGGCACUCUAAAGGGACUGCCGGUGUUAAACCGGAGGAAGGUGGGGAUGACGUCAAGUCCUCAUGGCCUUUAUGACCAGGGCUACACACGUACUACAAUGGCCGAUACAAAGGGCAGCGACACUGCGAGGUGAAGCCAAUCCCGUAAAAUCGGUCUCAGUCCGGAUUGGAGUCUGCAACUCGACUCCAUGAAGUUGGAAUCGCUAGUAAUCGUGGAUCAGCAUGCCACGGUGAAUACGUUCCCGGGCCUU